UACGUAGGGGGCGGGCGUUGUCCGGAUUUACUGGGCGUAAAGGGUGCGUAGGUGGUUUCUUAAGUCAGAGGUGAAAGGCUACGGCUCAACCGUAGUAAGCCUUUGAAACUGGGAAACUUGAGUGCAGGAGAGGAGAGUGGAAUUCCUAGUGUAGCGGUGAAAUGCGUAGAUAUUAGGAGGAACACCAGUUGCGAAGGCGGCUCUCUGGACUGUAACUGACACUGAGGCACGAAAGCGUGGGGAGCAAACAGGAUUAGAUACCCUGGUAGUCCCUGAGCGGG
RNAcentral lists this ribosomal RNA (281 nucleotides) under uncultured prokaryote. RNAcentral describes it as "partial 16S ribosomal RNA". It matches the Rfam family "Bacterial small subunit ribosomal RNA", at positions 524 to 803 of the family's 1533-position model. The record is from RNAcentral.